RNAcentral lists this ribosomal RNA (484 nucleotides) under uncultured bacterium. Its description in RNAcentral is "partial 16S ribosomal RNA". It matches the Rfam family "Bacterial small subunit ribosomal RNA", at positions 30 to 507 of the family's 1533-position model. The record is from RNAcentral.
AUUGAACGCUGGCGGCAGGCCUAACACAUGCAAGUCGAGCGGCAGAAGGGUGCUUGCUCCUGGAUUCAGCGGCGGACGGGCGGGUAAUGCCUAGGAAUAUGCCUGGUUGUGGGGGCUAACGUCCGGAAACGGGCGCUCAUACCGCAUACGUGCUGACGGCGUACGUGGGGGAUCUUCGGACCUUACGCCAUCAGGUGAGCCUAGGUCGGAUUAGCUAGUUGGUGGGGUAAAGGCCUAACAAGGCGACGAUUCGUAGCUGGGGUGUGAGGAUGAUUAGUCACACUGGGAAUUAGGAACGGGCCCGAGUCCUAAGGGAGGGAGGAGUGGGGAAUAUUGGGCAAUGGGGGGAAACCUGGUCCAGCCAUGCCGCGUGGGUGAAGAAGGUCUUCGGGUUGUAAAGCCCUUUUAGUUGGGAGGAAGGGCAGUAAGUUAAUACCUUGCUGUUUUGACGUUACCAACAGAAUAAGCACCGGCUAACUUCGUG